This 218-nucleotide non-coding RNA is filed under the name Anas platyrhynchos (mallard). Its description in RNAcentral is "Eukaryotic small subunit ribosomal RNA". It matches the Rfam family "Eukaryotic small subunit ribosomal RNA", at positions 146 to 359 of the family's 1831-position model. The record is from Rfam by way of RNAcentral. Lineage: Eukaryota; Metazoa; Chordata; Aves; Anseriformes; Anatidae.
ACUGUGGUAAUUCUAGAGCUAAUACAUGCCGACGAGCGCCGACCUCCGGGGACGCGUGCAUUUAUCAGACCAAAACCAACCCGGGCUCGCCCGGCGGCUUUGGUGACUCUAGAUAACCUCGAGCCGAUCGCACGCCCCCGCGGCGGCGACGACCCAUUCGAAUGUCUGCCCUAUCAACUUUCGAUGGUAGUGUCUGUGCCUACCAUGGUGACCACGGG